RNAcentral lists this ribosomal RNA (494 nucleotides) under uncultured bacterium. RNAcentral describes it as "partial 16S ribosomal RNA". It matches the Rfam family "Bacterial small subunit ribosomal RNA", at positions 29 to 507 of the family's 1533-position model. The record is from RNAcentral.
ACGAACGCUGGCGGCGUGCCUAAUACCUGCAAGUAGCACGCUGAAGGAGGAGCUUGCUUCUCUGGAUGAGUUGCGAACGGGUGAGUAACGCGUAGGUAACCUGCCUGGUAGCGGGGGAUAACUAUUGGAAACGAUAGCUAAUACCGCAUAAUAGUAGAUGUUGCAUGACAUUUGCUUAAAAGGUGCAAUUGCAUCACUACCAGAUGGACCUGCGUUGUAUUAGCUAGUUGGUGGGGUAACGGCUCACCAAGGCGACGAUACAUAGCCGACCUGAGAGGGUGAUCGGCCACACUGGGACUGAGACACGGCCCAGACUCCUACGGGAGGCAGCAGUAGGGAAUCUUCGGCAAUGGACGGAAGUCUGACCGAGCAACGCCGCGUGAGUGAAGAAGGUUUUCGGAUCGUAAAGCUCGGUUGUAAGAGAAGAACGAGUGUGAGAGUGGAAAGUUCACACUGUGACGGUAUCUUACCAGAAAGGGACGGCUAACUACGUG